This 74-nucleotide transfer RNA is filed under the name Leucobacter tardus. RNAcentral's name for it is "tRNA-Gly". It matches the Rfam family "tRNA". From Rfam's summary of the family: Transfer RNA (tRNA) molecules are approximately 80 nucleotides in length. Their secondary structure includes four short double-helical elements and three loops (D, anti-codon, and T loops). The record is from RNAcentral. Lineage: Bacteria; Bacillati; Actinomycetota; Actinomycetes; Micrococcales; Microbacteriaceae. RNAcentral also lists the same sequence under 7 other names.
GGGGAUGUAGUUCAAUGGUAGAACUUCAGCUUCCCAAGCUGAUAGCGCGGGUUCGAUUCCCGUCAUCCCCUCCA